Molecule: ribosomal RNA, 253 nt
Filed under: uncultured bacterium
Lineage: Bacteria
Description: partial 16S ribosomal RNA
Rfam family: Bacterial small subunit ribosomal RNA
Source: RNAcentral
UACGUAGGGUGCGAGCGUUGUCCGGAAUUAUUGGGCGUAAAGAGCUCGUAGGCGGUUUGUCGCGUCGGCCGUGAAAGCUUGGGGCUUAACCCCAAGCCUGCGGUCGAUACGGGCAGACUUGAGUUCGGCAGGGGAGACUGGAAUUCCUGGUGUAGCGGUGAAAUGCGCAGAUAUCAGGAGGAACACCGGUGGCGAAGGCGGGUCUCUGGGCCGAUACUGACGCUGAGGAGCGAAAGCGUGGGGAGCGAACAGG